AUGUCUGUUGAAAAGAGGGUUUAUGUUGAUGUUGCAGAGUUGUUUCGGAGCGAGUUUGCUGAAGCUGAAGAUGGUGGCGUUGAUGGAUCUAGCAUGGAACAGGGACGCGGAUGUGUGGAUGAGAAGUGCUUCGGAGAUGGAAGUGAGGCGGAUAGAUGGUGGCUGAUUGCGUAUGGUAAUAGAUCAGAAAUGAGGCUUCACGGUUCGGUGUGUUGCUCGGAUGAAUAG
Molecule: non-coding RNA, 228 nt
Organism: Vicia faba (fava bean)
Lineage: Eukaryota; Viridiplantae; Streptophyta; Magnoliopsida; Fabales; Fabaceae
Source: the annotation of a GenBank genome assembly